RNAcentral lists this long non-coding RNA (242 nucleotides) under Lathyrus oleraceus (garden pea). RNAcentral's name for it is "Pisum sativum (pea) long non-coding RNA (PSAT_LNC042027)". Lineage: Eukaryota; Viridiplantae; Streptophyta; Magnoliopsida; Fabales; Fabaceae. The record is from RNAcentral.
AUCUCCCAAUUUUGAAUUCCCUGUAUUCGAAGCGGAAGAAGAUGAUGUUGAAGGGAUUCCUGACGAGAUUUCCCGACUUCUUGAGCAAAAAAGAAGAUCACACUCAGCUGCAUCUCGAGAAUCAGCAGAACAGCCAACUGGGGCAUUAUCAAAAAAAAGAGAAAGAAAAAAGAAAGAGAGGGUGCAAAACCAAAUCAAAAGAAAUCCAAAUCAAAAGCAAAAUCAAAAGGAAAAAAAACAAA